RNAcentral lists this ribosomal RNA (200 nucleotides) under uncultured bacterium. RNAcentral describes it as "partial 16S ribosomal RNA". It matches the Rfam family "Bacterial small subunit ribosomal RNA", at positions 1299 to 1500 of the family's 1533-position model. The record is from RNAcentral.
UGCAGGCUGCAACUCGCCUGCAUGAAGUCGGAAUUGCUAGUAAUCGCGGAUCAGCAUGCCGCGGUGAAUACGUUCCCGGGCCUUGUACACACCGCCCGUCACACCAUGGGAGUCGGUAACACCCGAAGCCGAUAGUCUAACGAAAGAGGACGUCGUCGAAGGUGGGAUUGAUGACUGGGGUGAAGUCGUAACAAGGUACC